UUUCGAUUUCUUUUGUAGGCUACUAAGACAAACAUAAUCAAAUAAUCUGAAUGCGAAUUCUGCUUGACCAAGUCACAGUUAAAAUUCAAAAUUGAGGAAGAAUGAAUGUGAAUGAAGCCCUCUGCGUUAGAAGAAGACUCAAGAUCUAACGUCUGCAAAUGCAGCUUCACUACUUCCGUACUUGGGUACUCUGUUUGUUAAUUUCUUUGACUAUUUCAAUUGUUGGCUUCAUGUGUAAUUAUUGUAUACUUUGAUUUUGGUAAUUCGUCGUACAUCAGAAUUGGGAUCAUUUGCAUCUGGUUUCUUUUUCCUUUUGUCUUCUUUUUAAUUAAUUUCUAAUCUGGUCAUUUCACUAGCAUCAAAAAGUUAUUCUACAGCUUAGUGGAGAAAUUCAUGGCUUCUAAGUUUCUGUAUGGCGAUGCUUUAUGCAAUCACUGCAAAGGUUUAGUUUUUGUCAAUAUUUUAGGAUAUGGUAGGUGUUGUGUGAUGAAUGUGAAAGAAUAUGAUCUAUUAGCAUCAGACACGGUAGUUGAUUCCACAAUCGUGGAAAGCAUGAGUGGAUCCAUUAAAAUGAAAUUUUAUAGAAAUGAUAAAUCACAUUAUUUUAAUGAAGUUUCUGUGAAAUAAUUCUAGGUAUCCUUAGAAAAGUAGUUCUUUAACAAGAAGCAUUAAUGUAACAAGAUUUUUUUUUCUAUAUAUUCAUAACACCUUUUAGUGUCUACAUGAUAUUACUUUCUUAAAUACAUUCAGCGAUCCUUGGUUCAUAAGACUUCAAGAGUGUGGCUCGAUGCUUAAUUAACUCAUCCUUUGUUAACAAUCCAUUAUUCAGGAUGAUAUCAUUCUUGGAGCAAACACACGAGACACCUAAGGACCCAUUGUUGUGAAUAAGAAUUGCGAUAAAAUUAUAUAUUUUUGUGAAUUUUAAAUAUGAUUUAUUU
RNAcentral lists this long non-coding RNA (938 nucleotides) under Olea europaea subsp. europaea. Lineage: Eukaryota; Viridiplantae; Streptophyta; Magnoliopsida; Lamiales; Oleaceae. The record is from RNAcentral.